Molecule: RNA transcript, 2461 nt
Organism: Myotis lucifugus (little brown bat)
Lineage: Eukaryota; Metazoa; Chordata; Mammalia; Chiroptera; Vespertilionidae
Gene: NPTN
Gene name: neuroplastin
Exons: 10
Source: RefSeq, a predicted model, not a curated record
GCGGCGGUAGGAGCAGGACGGCGAAGGACGGAGCGGAGCCGCCGCUACUUCCCUCGCUCACUCCCUCGCUCAGUCGCCCGCCCCCUCCCUCCCUCCCCUCCCUUCCCCGGCCCCGGCCCGGGCUCCGGCCCCGGCCUUUUUGCUCUUGGGUCUUCUGCAGUGAGGAUGUCGGGCUCGACGCUCCCCAGCGCUCUAGUCAUCUCGCUGCUGCUGGUCUCUGGCUCCCUCCUCCCGGGGCCAGGCGCCGCUCAGAACGCUGGGUUUGUCAAGUCGCCCAUGUCAGAAACUAAGCUCACUGGGGACGCCUUUGAGCUGUACUGUGAUGUGGUCGGGAGCCCCACGCCAGAGAUCCAGUGGUGGUACGCAGAAGUCAACCGAGCAGAGUCUUUCAGACAGCUGUGGGACGGUGCACGGAAGCGCCGUGUCACCGUAAACACCGCCUACGGGUCAAACGGCGUGAGUGUGCUGAGAAUAACCCGGCUCACCUUGGAGGACUCUGGGACUUACGAGUGCAGGGCCAGCAACGACCCCAAGAGGAAUGACUUGAGGCAAAACCCCUCCAUAACAUGGAUUCGAGCCCAGGCCACCAUAAGCGUCCUUCAGAAGCCAGAUAUUGUCACCAGUGGAGAAGUCAUUAUUCGAGACAGCCCUGCUCUCCCUGUCACCCUGCAGUGUAACCUCACCUCCAGCUCUCACAUCCUUACAUACAGCUACUGGACAAAGAAUGGGGUGGAACUGACUGCCACUCGUAAGAAUGCCAGCAACACGGAAUACAGGAUCAGUAAGCCGAGAGCUGAAGAUUCAGGCGAAUACCACUGUGUAUAUCACUUUCACAGUGCUCCUAAAGCAAAUGCCACCAUUGAAGUGAAAGCUGCUCCUGAUAUCACUGGCCAUAAACGGAGCGAGAACAAGAACGAAGGGCAGGAUGCCAUGAUGUACUGCAAGUCAGUUGGCUACCCCCACCCAGAGUGGGUCUGGCGCAGGAAGGAGAACGGUCUGUUCAUGGAUAUUGCCAAUAACUCUGGCCGCUUCUUCAUCAUCAACAAGGAAAAUUACACUGAGCUGAGCAUCGUGAACCUCCAGAUCACAGAGGACCCUGGCGAGUAUGAAUGUAAUGCCACCAACUCCAUUGGCUCUGCCUCCGUCGUUACCAUCCUCAGGGUACGGAGCCACCUGGCCCCACUCUGGCCUUUCUUGGGAAUCCUGGCUGAAAUCAUCAUCCUUGUGGUGAUCAUUGUUGUGUAUGAGAAGAGAAAGAAGCCUGAUGAAGUUCCUGACGAUCAUCAGGCAGAUUGAGCUUGAGGAGAAUUCAAGUCAAGCCUAGAAGCCACCCCAAGAUCGCAGGCCACCUGGCCUUUCAGGCAGAUUUAAGAUGACGAACCAGCUGGGCCAAUGAAAACCAACUCUACCAACAAUCACAAAGAUAAAAACUUGCGCCAGAGAAACACAAAUUAAGUACUACUUAUAAUAUCUUUAGGUUCCUGAAACUGGUGGCAACAUAACCUGCUAAAUUUUCUGCUUGGACCUUUUUGGUUCUCUCCCAUUUAAGUGAGCAACACGACGACGACUGUCUAAAGCAUGCCUUAUUUAGCCUCUCCUGUAAGGGUGACCUAGCAGGUACAUUUCAAAUAAUGCUUCAGUGUAGAAGGUGUAAUCUAUUUUGGGCUUGAUGUGCUGUGAAUGUUGCUUCCUUUUCCUUUAUUAAAGUAUUUAAAUAGAAGUGAAAAGGUCCUCUGAGGAUCGGAUCAUGCAUGCGCCAUUUUUUACUUACUGCGACUGUUAAUAUGGCAAAAUGCACUGCUGCCAUCUAGUGAUACAUUUUUGUAAAGUACAGCAAAACCUACAAAUAAAUACAGUAUAUAAAUAUAUAUAUUUAUAUUUUGGGGGGUGGGAGAAAUACAAAAUAAAAUGCUUGUUUCAGUUUUAAGCUGCUGAUAUUCCUUAUUGUAUGUUGUCAGUUGAGGAAAUUGUGCAGUUCUGGUACAAAAGAUGAGUAAUAUAAACUGAAAUCUGUAAUUUUAAGGGCUUAACCUACGAUUCUAAUAAGUUGGAAUAGUCCACUGAAUGGCAUAAUGAAUUUCAGUAUAUAUGUAUGAUUGCUUUUUAAGUGAUUAUUUUUCCGUUUGCUGAAUCAUGUAAAUUCUUCUAUCUUUUUGCACUGAUCUGUUGAACCUUAUUGUACAUUUAAUUAAGGCAAACUUUUAUAAUUUAUCUUUAGUUUUCAGUGACCUUGAAAUAUUCUAGCAUGGUAUUCUAUGCAACUAGUUAUACUUUGGGGUUAACACUGUAUUUUUUCACAUUGAUUUAAUGGUUGAGUGUAGAUUUUUCUCACUCAAUAGGGUUCUCUCACUCAGUAUGUAACCGUAGAUGCAUGUACUCAUGUUUUGUGUAAUUGUUGAUGUGCAAUGAUGUAUAGAAAAGUGGAUUCACCGGUUUUUAAAAAUAAAACAUUGAUAAAAGA